This 491-nucleotide ribosomal RNA is filed under the name uncultured bacterium. RNAcentral describes it as "bacterial SSU rRNA". It matches the Rfam family "Bacterial small subunit ribosomal RNA", at positions 28 to 507 of the family's 1533-position model. The record is from RNAcentral.
GAUGAACGCUAGCUACAGGCUUAACACAUGCAAGUCGAGGGGCAGCAUGAAGUUUGCUUGCAAACUUUGAUGGCGACCGGCGGAUGGGUGAGUAACGCGUACCCAACCUGCCCCCUUCCCGGGCACAGCCCUUGGAAACGAGGAUUAACGCCCGAUGGCGUCAGGAUGCCGCAUGGCAUUCCGACCAAAUGCGAAGGAAGGGGAUGGGGGUGCGUCCCAUUAGCUAGUUGGCGGGGUAACGGCCCACCAAGGCAUCGAUGGGUAGGGGUUCUGAGAGGAAGGUCCCCCCANACUGGAACUGAGACACGGUCCAGACUCCUACGGGAGGCAGCAGUGAGGAAUAUUGGUCAAUGGAGGCAACUCUGAACCCAGCCAAGUAGCGUGAGGGAUGACUGCCCUACGGGGUUGUAAACCUCUUUUGUCGGGGAAUAAACCGCGCCACGUGUGGCGCCCUGCAUGUACCCGCAGAAUAAGGACCGGCUAAUUCCGUG